UUUGUAAAUGUGAGUUGGAGAAAAUGCAUUAACUGCUUUCCUAUGUCUUUUGUCUUUGUUUUGCCCAGGAUUGCUUCUCCUGGAAGGUUGCUUUACCUAGCUCCACUGUUACUAUUCAUAUGCACAUAAGACUUGAAAAUUCCUCAUACAAGGCCCUCAUGUCAAAUACAGAAGAUGUACAGCUGUUCUUUGCUUCUGAAACCAAGAGACUGCAGGAGAACAUUUGUGAGAAGGUAGCUGCUUGCAGGUAAAUAUUUUCUUCAGCAGAACCUAAGGAAAGUGAUAUUUAUUUACUUUGACUCCAGUUCUUCUCUAUGUGCGGGGUCAGGCCUCUAGAGCAGUACUAAUUGAAAGGCGGAAAGUUCAUGAGCAAAAGUGUUUCCCUUCUGUAUGGAAUAAGAAAAAUUAAGCAAAAUUGAUCCUUCAUAGACUUGUGUACCCAGGUAACACAGCAGAACGUACAGAAAUCACAUACAAGUUGUGAAAAUGUUGACUAUCAAUGACUGUAGGAAGUAACAAAGAACAGCUUGUUAUUCUGCACUGUUUCCCCUACCCCACUGAGUUUUUCCCUGUAUCAUUUGUGGGUGGAACAUGAACUUGGGUGUGUAUCUGCAGGCAUAAUUUGACCUUUGAAACCUCCAUUACUGUAACUGAUACAAGAAAAGUGAAAGUCACAGUUUAUGUUCGGGUACCAGACCAAGUACCUCAUAAAGUUUGAAAAACACAGUUAGAGAAAACAUAAUUUUUGCUGGCAUGUGGCUUUGCUAUAUGAACUGCCCUGGCUUGUCCUGUUAAAAUUUGCAGCAAACCCUUUUACCAGUAUGAGAAGGCAACACAGACUAUGUGUCAGUAGGAUAAUAGUAGGCAGGAUAAUGCC
Molecule: long non-coding RNA, 877 nt
Filed under: Cyanistes caeruleus (blue tit)
Lineage: Eukaryota; Metazoa; Chordata; Aves; Passeriformes; Paridae
Description: lncRNA (ENSCCEG00000023289.1)
Source: RNAcentral